CCUACGGGAGGCAGCAGUAGGGAAUCUUUCACAAUGGGCGAAAGCCUGAUGGAGCAACGCCGCGUGCAGGAUGAAGGCCUUCGGGUUGUAAACUGCUUUUAUAAGCGAGAAAUAUGAUGGUAACUUAUGAAUAAGGAUCGGCUAACUACGUGCCAGCAGCCACGGUCAUACGUAGGAUCCGAGCAUUAACCGGAGUGACUGGGUGUAAAGAGUUGCGUAGGUGGCAUAAUAAGUAGCUAGUGAAAUCUGGUGGCUCAACCAUUCAGACUAUUAGCUAAAAUGUUAAGCUCGAGACCGUUAGGGGUAACUGGAAUUUCUAGUGUAGGAGUGAAAUCCGUAGAUAUUAGAAGGAACACCAAUAGCGUAGGCAGGUUGCUGGGACGGUUCUGACACUAAGGCACGAAAGCGUAGGGAGCAAACGGGAUUAGAUACCCCGGUAGUC
This 442-nucleotide ribosomal RNA is filed under the name uncultured bacterium. RNAcentral describes it as "partial 16S ribosomal RNA". It matches the Rfam family "Bacterial small subunit ribosomal RNA", at positions 338 to 795 of the family's 1533-position model. The record is from RNAcentral.